Molecule: ribosomal RNA, 469 nt
Filed under: uncultured Enterobacteriaceae bacterium
Lineage: Bacteria; Pseudomonadati; Pseudomonadota; Gammaproteobacteria; Enterobacterales; Enterobacteriaceae
Description: bacterial SSU rRNA
Rfam family: Bacterial small subunit ribosomal RNA
Source: RNAcentral
GACGGGGCCCGCACAAGCGGUGGAUUAUGUGGAUUAAUUCGAUGCAACGCGAAAACCUUACCUACCCUUGACAUGUACGGAAUCCUUUAGAGAUAGAGGAGUGCUCGAAAGAGAGCCGUAACACAGGUGCUGCAUGGCUGUCGUCAGCUCGUGUUGUGAAAUGUUGGGUUAAGUCCCGCAACGAGCGCAACCCUUAUCCUUUGUUGCCAGCGGUCCGGCCGGGAACUCAAAGGAGACUGCCAGUGAUAAACUGGAGGAAGGUGGGAUGACGUCAAGUCAUCAUGGCCCUUACGACCAGGGCUACACACGUGCUACAAUGGCGCAUACAAAGAGAAGCGACCUCGCGAGAGCAAGCGGACCUCAUAAAGUGCGUCGUAGUCCGGAUUGGAGUCUGCAACUCGACUCCAUGAAGUCGGAAUCGCUAGUAAUCGUGGAUCAGAAUGCCACGGUGAGUACGUUCCCGGGCCUU